RNAcentral lists this ribosomal RNA (497 nucleotides) under uncultured bacterium. RNAcentral describes it as "partial 16S ribosomal RNA". It matches the Rfam family "Bacterial small subunit ribosomal RNA", at positions 28 to 507 of the family's 1533-position model. The record is from RNAcentral.
GGUGAACGCUGGCGGCGUGCCUAAUACAUGCAAGUCGAGCGAACAGAUAAGGAGCUUGCUCCUUUGACGUUAGCGGCGGACGGGUGAGUAACACGUGGGUAACCUACCUAUAAGACUGGAAUAACUCCGGGAAACCGGGGCUAAUGCCGGAUAACAUUUAGAACCGCAUGGUUCUAAAGUGAAAGAUGGUUUUGCUAUCACUUAUAGAUGGACCCGCGCCGUAUUAGCUAGUUGGUAAGGUAACGGCUUACCAAGGCAACGAUACGUAGCCGACCUGAGAGGGUGAUAGGCCACACUGGAGCUGAGACACGGUCCAGACUCCUACGGGAGGCAGCAGUAGGGAAUCUUCCGCAAUGGGCGAAAGCCUGACGGAGCAACGCCGCGUGAGUGAUGAAGGUCUUCGGAUCGUAAAGCUCUGUUAUUAGGGAAGAACAAAUGUGUAAGUAACUGUGCACGUCUUGACGGUACCUAAUCAGAAAGCCACGGCUAACUACGUG